RNAcentral lists this ribosomal RNA (497 nucleotides) under uncultured bacterium. Its description in RNAcentral is "partial 16S ribosomal RNA". It matches the Rfam family "Bacterial small subunit ribosomal RNA", at positions 28 to 507 of the family's 1533-position model. The record is from RNAcentral.
GAUGAACGCUGGCGGCGUGCCUAAUACAUGCAAGUCGAGCGAACAGACGAGGAGCUUGCUCCUUCGACGUUAGCGGCGGACGGGUGAGUAACACGUAGGUAACCUACCUAUAAGACUGGGAUAACUUCGGGAAACCGGAGCUAAUACCGGAUAAUAUUUCGAACCGCAUGGUUCGAUAGUGAAAGAUGGCUUUGCUAUCACUUAUAGAUGGACCUGCGCCGUUUUAGCUAGUUGGUAAGGUAACGGCUUACCAAGGCAACGAUGCGUAGCCGACCUGAGAGGGUGAUCGGCCACACUGGAACUGAGACACGGUCCAGACUCCUACGGGAGGCAGCAGUAGGGAAUCUUCCGCAAUGGGCGAAAGCCUGACGGAGCAACGCCGCGUGAGUGAUGAAGGUCUUCGGAUCGUAAAACUCUGUUAUUAGGGAAGAACAAACGUGUAAGUAACUGUGCACGUCUUGACGGUACCUAAUCAGAAAGCCACGGCUAACUACGUG